UGCAACUGCUCUUUUUCCAUC
This 21-nucleotide non-coding RNA is filed under the name Caenorhabditis elegans. The record is from RNAcentral. Lineage: Eukaryota; Metazoa; Nematoda; Chromadorea; Rhabditida; Rhabditidae.